This 253-nucleotide ribosomal RNA is filed under the name uncultured bacterium. RNAcentral's name for it is "partial 16S ribosomal RNA". It matches the Rfam family "Bacterial small subunit ribosomal RNA", at positions 524 to 776 of the family's 1533-position model. The record is from RNAcentral.
UACGUAGGGUGCAAGCGUUGUCCGGAAUUAUUGGGCGUAAAGAGCUCGUAGGCGGUCUGUUGCGUCCGCUGUGAAAUCUCGGGGCUUAACCCCGAGCCUGCAGUGGAUACGGGCAGACUAGAGGUAGGUAGGGGAGAAUGGAAUUCCCGGUGUAGCGGUGAAAUGCGUAGAGAUCGGGAGGAACAUCAGUGGCGAAGGCGGCCAUCUGGAUCAACACUGACGCUGAGGCACGAAAGCGUGGGGAGCAAACAGG